CUCUUGCCUGGAGAGUCCCAUGGAUGGAAGAGCCUGGUGGGCUGCAGUCCAUGGGGUCGCACAGAGUCAGACACGACUGAGGCGACUUAGCAGCAGCAGCAGCAGUACUUCAUGGUGCAGACUGUACUAUACAUUUCAAGCCAGGAGGACACUUCAGUUGUAACAAUAAAAAAUAUCCUAACAAAUUUACACCUCUUUAAAUUAGGGAAGUGAAAGUGAAGUCGCUCAGUCGUGUCCGACUCUUUGUGACCCAAUGGUCUGUAGCCUACCAGGCUCCUCAGUCCAUGGGAUUUUGCAGGCAAGAAUACUGGAGUGGGUUGCCAUUGCCUUCUCCAGGGGGUCUUUCCAACCCAGGGAUCGAACCUGGGUCUCCUGCAUUGCAGGCAGAUGCCUUACCCUCUGAGCCACCAGGGAAGCCCCAAAUUAGGGAAGUAUUACCCCCUAAUUUAGAACCACUGAGGAACACCAUGAAUAUGAUCUCAAGCAGCCAAUGUUAGUGCUACCCACAAGUGUAGACUUGAAUUGCUCAGGGUCAUAAAUGCACUGUUCUAAGGUCUGCUGUAUUAUCUGAUACAGUAACUACAAUCCUAUCCACAUGAGUAUUUAAAUUUAAAUAUAAAUUAGUUAAAACAAAAUCAAAUAUUCAUUUUCUCAGUUGAGCUAGUCACGGUCCCAGUGCUGAACAGCUACAUACAGACUACAGUGUAAGUCAAACACAUAGUGAAGUUGAGAAGUUGUGGUAGAGAUGUAAUGUUUUAAAAAAAUCUGUUCGUGCAAUGAUGCCACUAAAUCAGUCAAUAUUUUAUAUUUGACAGAUAAAAUAUUGUGUAACUCCUGUUCUUGAAGAAAUUGACUCAGCUCCUCACCAUGCGUCACUGACAAAUUCUGCAUUUCUUGGGCUUGAGAAGGAUAUUGGUCCCCACCUACUCACUAAGACAGAGGACCUCAAUCGUCCUUCAACAACAUCUGGAGCUGGGGCUGGAAGAAAUCCCUUGGGGCCUCCAAGCUUACUGCCCAGGAAAGAAGAGCCACAGUUUCCUCUGUGGGUGGCUGGAUCAGCCAACGCUGUCCCUCACUCUGUCCGUAAUGGUCAGUCAGCCAAGGAAAGAGGCCUCGAGACUUUAUCUCUCUGGUUGUCAAGCUUUGACUUCACUCUCAGCAAACCGGACUUCAACAAACUAGGUUCCUGGCAAACAAGCAUGUGCUCAAACUGAAAACAGGAAUUCAGAGGAAGGAUCUCAGUCUCUAGUUUGGCCUACUCAUCUGCACCAAAAAAUAUCAAAGAAGUUUUAUUCAAGCAGAGCUAACACUAUCAGCAAGUAUCAUUCUAAAGCCAAUAUGGUGCAUGACAAUAGGAAUCACAAGUAAUGUCAAGGCAAAGUGAGACACAGGAGGAGAGAGUUGCUUUCAGGAUAAGUCCUUUAUCCUCCUCACCUGAAAAUACCCAUUUCAGUGUGAAUUUUGGAGUUCCAGAGUUUUAUUUUACUGACAAAUGUGGCUUUUAUGUACUGUAUUCCCUUGUAAAUUCUGCACACUGUUGCAUUUUUCCACAAGUGGCAAAGUCCACUUUGUCACUGGAUAAAGAUAAAUUCACUACUUCAAUAAUCUGCAAAGAGCACAAAAGUAUCAAGAGCAUCUUGUAGUCAUAAGAGGAAGUGGAGAAUAUGAUCCGUUAGUAUGCAUUUUGUGUAAUGACUUGAGAGUAUAUUCUACAUUAAAAUGCACUGUGUUUAAAUUUCAUUUUAUCUACAUUCCACUCUCAAACUUCCACACCAUGUUCUUUGGAAUAUAUUUAAUGUCUAAGAUCUGCAAGUUCUCACCUACACAAACUCUGCAGCCAGCAAGUGGUUUAUUAAACUACAGCUUUGAGGUACCACUCACAAAACAGAAAGGGAAACUGUUUUCUUUAUGUUCUGCAGGGAACUAAGACAGAUGGAAGUAGAUAAUUUCCAUGGACACCCUUGCAGUCAUCAUGAUUAAUUUUAUUGGCCAGAUUCCUCAGAUUUGAAAGCCUUGAAAGAGGGGUGUUGAAACUGUCAUGGUAACAUCUAAUUAAGAAGGAAAUAGAGCCUUAAGAGAAGUACUGACUCUCCUUUUCAUCAAAGAAUAGUAAGUUAUAUAAAGAAGGCACCAAAUCCUCGGUAGGUAACCCAGCCUUUCUGAUACCUUUGUAACCUCUUCCCAAUGGUCACCAGCGCACACAGCUACACAUGUACACCCACAUGCACAAAUGCAUGCCCUGAAUUAAUUAUUUAAGCCAAUCCUUUUCAACUAGAAUGUUUCAUCUAGCCUUCCUGGUAAUGACUGAUAGAUACCUAGAUAGAUACUUGCAACCUCAGGUAGGUGAAGCUAAAAGAUUUAUAUGAUUUUAUCAUUUUAUCCAAGUCCAUAUUUUAAAGUUCACAUUUAAACAAAUACACACAUACAUAUUACACAUAUGUAUACAGAGAGGAAAUUCUAACACACAUGUCCCUAGAUAAUAGUCAGAAUAUCUGAACUAUGGCCAGGAGAUUAAGCAUAAAGAUCAGGAUGUUUCAGCACUAUUAUAUCUGUUACCACAAAAGUCAGACACAAAUAAUUACAUUUUCUAGAGAGUGAAAAUACAAUGAAUACUUAUGAUCUUUGCUCUUUUUAUUACCCUCAUAAGCACCUAAUAUGAUUUACAAAUAGUCUAUUUAUUAAAACUAUAAAUAUGUCUGUAUUUAUAUAUUACAGAUGAGAAAAAAGUUGUCUCUGUACUGAAGGAGUUGAGUAAAUGCUGAUUCUUCAUGGAAACUGGUAGUUUAUGUAUUCUUUGAGAAAUUUUGAAUUAAUAAAAAUUCAAAUAGUAAGAGAAUUGAAACAUAGUAAUAGUAGUGCUUAGGAUAAAAUUAUCACACCAAUAAGCAAUUUUGUAUAUCUUCUCUUUUUUUAAAAAAAAAAAUGUGCCUGGGUAUAUUUGUUGUUAAUUUAAAAUGACCCUUAUCUCAGGGACAAAAUUGCAGGAAAAUUUGGCUUUGCCUUAGAGAAAAUAGAACAUACACAUGUAUUGAUGCAAAUAAGAAUAAUACAUGUUUUGUAGAAAAUUAUUUUCCUUCAUGAAGAUUGUUCUCUACUCCUGCCUUGACUUAGUUUGUAUUUGUUUGAUUAGGUUGUAAUGCAAAAUGUACCAUAAUGUUAUCCCUCUCAGGAUAACGCAAAGGGGAACAUAAACUGCAAUUCUUUUGGUAUAAGAAAUGCUUGGAAAUUAAGUCAUGGCUUCUAACCUUCUGAGUCAUGUUCUUUAUUUGACAGACUAUACUGUGUUUGAGCACUAAAUAAUAAGAAAGAAAUCAUCAACUACAUCGUUGAUUAUUACUGUAUUUACAUCAGUUAUACCUGAACAAAAGUCAUAAAUUCAGAGCCUCUCUUCUGUAUUUCAAGCUGCUUUAGAGGCUUUGCUUCUCAUACUUCAGCAGGUAUUUGAUCACCUGGGCUUCAUUCCAGAAUUGUGAUUUUACUCAGGCCUGCGUGUGGCCUAAGAACCUGCACAUCUACCAGGAGAUGGAGCUGUUGCUGGGCAAGGGACCUGACUUUGAGGGCCACCAAUAAAAUGUAACCUCAUUAAAACAGUCAGGUCUUACCUUUUAGGCAGAUGUAUUUGAGUCAUUGCAUUUCUAUGUAUUUCAGUAAUAGCUAUAGCUUGCAAAAUAUAAAAUCUAUUAUAUUCAAUAAAAAGUAAUAAAAUGUGCUUUCUUUUCCUUCACUGCAAGCACAGUGCACAUUUGUCAGUUCAACAAUCUAAGAAGCCAGUAGGAAGGGCUUUCAGAGUCAAAACUUGACCUUACAUCCUUUAUUGAAGGAUUACACGUAAAAACCAGCUGUCAAUAAACAGUUGCGUUGUUUUUUGCCAUUCCUACAAUACUCUGGGCUAAAACAAAACUUUAUAAAUUUAAAGCUCAUGAUUGCCACCUGCUGACACAUUUUUGAAUUACAAGUAGUCUGCAUGGUUGGUAUAUAUUGUGUUCAGAUUUGGGGGUUUUGUAUCUUCCUUUCCAAAACCCAUUAGGUAAAUUUUAUAUCUGACUUUAUAC
This is a long non-coding RNA of Bubalus bubalis (water buffalo), 4052 nucleotides long. RefSeq lists it as uncharacterized. NCBI's taxonomy places the organism in Eukaryota, Metazoa, Chordata, Mammalia, Artiodactyla, Bovidae. The transcript is spliced from 4 exons. The record is from RefSeq and is a predicted model, not a curated record.